UUUAUUGUAGCUUAAAUCCUACUAAAGCGGAGCACUGAAGUUGCCCCGAUGGAAGCCCUCCCUUCCCAAAAACA
This 74-nucleotide transfer RNA is filed under the name Gekko subpalmatus. RNAcentral's name for it is "tRNA-Phe". The record is from RNAcentral. Lineage: Eukaryota; Metazoa; Chordata; Lepidosauria; Squamata; Gekkonidae.